GAUGAACGCUGGCGGCGUGCCUAAUACAUGCAAGUCGAGCGAACGGACGAGAAGCUUGCUUCUCUGAUGUUAGCGGCGGACGGGUGAGUAACACGUGGAUAACCUACCUAUAAGACUGGGAUAACUUCGGGAAACCGUAGCUAAUACCGGAUAAUAUUUUGAACCGCAUGGUUCAAAAGUGAAAGACGGUCUUGCUGUCACUUAUAGAUGGAUCCGCGCUGCAUUAGCUAGUUGGUAAGGUAACGGCUUACCAAGGCAACGAUGCAUAGCCGACCUGAGAGGGUGAUCGGCCACACUGGAACUGAGACACGGUCCAGACUCCUACGGGAGGCAGCAGUAGGGAAUCUUCCGCAAUGGGCGAAAGCCUGACGGAGCAACGCCGCGUGAGUGAUGAAGGUCUUCGGAUCGUAAAACUCUGUUAUUAGGGAAGAACAUAUGUGUAAGUAAUUGUGCACAUCUUGACGGUGCCUAAUCAGAAAGCCACGGCUAACUACGUG
RNAcentral lists this ribosomal RNA (497 nucleotides) under uncultured bacterium. Its description in RNAcentral is "partial 16S ribosomal RNA". It matches the Rfam family "Bacterial small subunit ribosomal RNA", at positions 28 to 507 of the family's 1533-position model. The record is from RNAcentral.